UUGCACCAGAUACGAGCCUGACAGUCUCUGUGGCUGCCAGGUUUCCGGUGGUGCGACAUCAUUGACAGCCCUGAAAUUUAAGCUUCUCAGUGAGGAGCGACACUGAGGAGUUAUGGCUCAGAGGCACAGAU
Non-coding RNA from Synchiropus splendidus (mandarinfish), 131 nucleotides. RefSeq annotates it as small Cajal body-specific RNA 1. The transcript has a single exon. The record is from RefSeq and is a predicted model, not a curated record. Lineage: Eukaryota; Metazoa; Chordata; Actinopteri; Syngnathiformes; Callionymidae.